RNAcentral lists this ribosomal RNA (253 nucleotides) under uncultured bacterium. RNAcentral describes it as "partial 16S ribosomal RNA". It matches the Rfam family "Bacterial small subunit ribosomal RNA", at positions 524 to 776 of the family's 1533-position model. The record is from RNAcentral.
GACAGAGGCCUCAAGCGUUAGGCGGAAUCACUGGGCGUAAAGCGCGCGUAGGCGGCUCGGAAAGUCGGUCGUGAAAUGCCGGGGCUCAACCCCGGGACUGCGUCCGAUACUUCCGGGCUGGAGGUAGGUAGGGGAGAUCGGAAUUCCUGGUGUAGCGGUGAAAUGCGCAGAUAUCAGGAGGAACACCGGUGGCGAAGGCGGAUCUCUGGGCCUUACCUGACGCUGAGGCGCGAAAGCUAGGGGAGCGAACAGG